Molecule: ribosomal RNA, 408 nt
Filed under: uncultured bacterium
Lineage: Bacteria
Description: partial 16S ribosomal RNA
Rfam family: Bacterial small subunit ribosomal RNA
Source: RNAcentral
GACGAACGCUGGCGGCGUGCUUAACACAUGCAAGUCGAACGCAGUGGCGAACGGGUGAGUAAUACGUGGGUAACCUGCCCUCCUUUUUGGGAUAAGCCUUGGAAACGAGGUCUAAUACCGAAUCAAGGGGGAUGGGCUCGCGGCCUGUCAGCUUGUUGGUGGGGUGAUGGCCUACCAAGGCGGUGACGGGUAGCCGGGCUGAGAGGGUGAACGGGAACAGUGGGACGGAGAUACGGCCCAGAGGAGGAAGGGGGGAAGAAGUGGGGGAUAUUGAAGAAUGGGUGAAAGACCGAUGCAGCGAGGCCGAGGGGGGGAUGAGGGCUUUCGGAUUGUAAAGCUAGUGAGGUAUAGAACGGGUAGGUGGAGAGGAAGCGCCGGCUAACUACGUGCCAGCAGCCGCGGUAAUAC